UCUAAGUUCGACAUAACCACUUCUGGUUGGAAGUUUGAAAUAAUAUACAACAAUUGAGGUAUCCGGUUUUAUAUACUGGUAACUGAUAUCGUUAUCUAGUUACCAUAUUCAAGUUGAGUGCAUUUGCAAGUUGAGCAAAUAUCCGUACUUAUUAAUAAAAUAUGGAUAAUAAAUACAAAGGGCACUCAAAUACUCUUUGAAAUAAUCAAAUGUUUAAAACAUUUUUGAAAUAGAUAAGAUAAGAAAUAUAUGUGUGGAUUAUAGUAGUUAAGCAAUCACUUAUGUAAUUGUUAUAAUAUUAAGAACAGAAUGAAGAAGAAAUGAA
Molecule: long non-coding RNA, 325 nt
Organism: Pieris brassicae (large cabbage white)
Lineage: Eukaryota; Metazoa; Arthropoda; Insecta; Lepidoptera; Pieridae
Exons: 2
Source: RefSeq, a predicted model, not a curated record